UACAGAGGUGGCAAGCGUUGUUCGGAAUUACUGGGCGUAAAGGGCGCGUAGGCGGUUCGUUAAGUCCUGUGUGAAAUCCCCCGGCUCAACUGGGGAACUGCACAGGAAACUAGCGGGCUUGAGUUCGGGAGAGGGAAGCGGAAUUCCGGGUGUAGCGGUGAAAUGCGUAGAUAUUCGGAAGAACACCAGUGGCGAAGGCAGCAGAUUGGGCCGGUAUUGACGCUCAGGCACGAAAGCAUGGGGAUCAAACAGG
This 253-nucleotide ribosomal RNA is filed under the name uncultured bacterium. RNAcentral's name for it is "partial 16S ribosomal RNA". It matches the Rfam family "Bacterial small subunit ribosomal RNA", at positions 524 to 776 of the family's 1533-position model. The record is from RNAcentral.